RNAcentral lists this transfer RNA (80 nucleotides) under Trametes cingulata. RNAcentral describes it as "tRNA-Leu". It matches the Rfam family "tRNA". From Rfam's summary of the family: Transfer RNA (tRNA) molecules are approximately 80 nucleotides in length. Their secondary structure includes four short double-helical elements and three loops (D, anti-codon, and T loops). The record is from RNAcentral. Lineage: Eukaryota; Fungi; Basidiomycota; Agaricomycetes; Polyporales; Polyporaceae. RNAcentral also lists the same sequence under 3 other names.
GGCGAGAUGGCCGAGCGGUCUAAGGCGCCAGACUAAGGAUCUGGUCCUCACGGGCGUGGGUUCGAAUCCCACUCUCGUCA